GACGAACGCUGGCGGCGUGCCUAAUACAUGCAAGUCGAACGCUGAAGGAGGAGCUUGCUCUUCUGGAUGAGUUGCGAACGGGUGAGUAACGCGUAGGUAACCUGCCUGGUAGCGGGGGAUAACUAUUGGAAACGAUAGCUAAUACCGCAUAACAGUAGAUGUUGCAUGACAUUUGCUUAAAAGGUGCAAUUGCACCACUACCAGAUGGCCCUGCGUUGUAUUAGCUAGUUGGUGGGGUAACGGCUCACCAAGGCGACGAUACAUAGCCGACCUGAGAGGGUGAUCGGCCACACUGGGACUGAGACACGGCCCAGACCCCUACGGGAGGCAGCAGUAGGGAAUCUUCGGCAAUGGACGGAAGUCUGACCGAGCAACGCCGCGUGAGUGAAGAAGGGUUUCGGAUCGUAAAGCUCGGUUGUAAGAGAAGAACGAGUGUGAGAGUGGAAAGUUCACACUGUGACGGUAGCUUACCAGAAAGGGACGGCUAACUACGUG
RNAcentral lists this ribosomal RNA (495 nucleotides) under uncultured bacterium. RNAcentral describes it as "partial 16S ribosomal RNA". It matches the Rfam family "Bacterial small subunit ribosomal RNA", at positions 28 to 507 of the family's 1533-position model. The record is from RNAcentral.